AUGGCAUCGCAGGGGGAGGCUGGUGGAUCGCGUCCGCGUGGUGAGCCUGUUGAGGAGCUGUUGCGUCGUCUUGAUCUGCAGGAGGAUGAGGUUGACCAGUUUGUGUGGGAAGAUGAGUUCAAGGAUGAACAGAUCGCGGCCAAGUGGCUAGCGAUUGCAAAGGUACACACGGAAAAGGGGUUCAGUCCAUCGGCCCUGUAUGCGGAUAUGAGAGCGGCAUGGAAUCCAGCAGAGGAACCACGCUGGAGAAAGAUAGAGGACAACCUCUUCACAGUACAAUUCCAUUGUUUGGGGGACUGG
Molecule: ribosomal RNA, 300 nt
Filed under: Triticum aestivum (bread wheat)
Lineage: Eukaryota; Viridiplantae; Streptophyta; Magnoliopsida; Poales; Poaceae
Description: partial small subunit ribosomal RNA
Source: RNAcentral